UGCCACACUGCAAGACCCAAAAUGACACUG
RNAcentral lists this non-coding RNA (30 nucleotides) under Macaca fascicularis (crab-eating macaque). The record is from RNAcentral. RNAcentral also lists the same sequence under 1 other name. Lineage: Eukaryota; Metazoa; Chordata; Mammalia; Primates; Cercopithecidae.